AACUGGUUAGCUCAGUUGGUAGAGCGCUCCAAUGGAAAUCGAGAUGUCCCGGGUUCGAUACCCGGACCAGGUG
Molecule: non-coding RNA, 73 nt
Organism: Ixodes scapularis (black-legged tick)
Lineage: Eukaryota; Metazoa; Arthropoda; Arachnida; Ixodida; Ixodidae
Source: Rfam